UGCCUGCAUCAGGUCUUAGUUGCAGCAUGUGGGAUCUAGUUCCCCCACCAGGGAUUGAACCUAGGCCCGCUGCAUUAGGAACAUGGAAUCUUAGCCACUGGACCACCCGGGAAGUCCCUGAAGAGCUUCAAGAGGCUCCAGGUCAAGUGUUUGAAAUGUCCAGACCAUAGGCUCCCCAACAUCCAUCACUGCUGUUGGAAGAAUCAUUGGAAUUCUUUCAGAAUUCUGGAAGGUGGUUACCAUGGGGCUCCUUGGUGGUCACCCUUGGCCUCUUCCUUUGUCUGCAAAUUGCUGCCAGGGCAAGGGUCUAAGGCAUCUCCAAAAUUCCAGAUAAAUCAAAUCAUAAUAAUUGUACUAUUCAUCAGGUUAGAUGGAGUUUUGGCUCAGGGCCCAUUUCAGGCCUGAAUGUCCUAAGCAAACCCUUUUGACUUCCAGAUUAUCAGAUGCUGAGCCAAUGUUCCAGACCCUGAGCCAGUCUUCAGCACAGCUCUUGCAGACAGCAUGCUGAGAUGUCUCCACCAUGGUCCACAGGCUGUCCAAAUUAAGUCGGGAAGAGAAAAACAAAUAUUGUUUAUUAAUGCAUAUAUGUGGAAUCUAGAAAAAAAUGGAAUCCAGCAUUCUGUAAUGCUGACCAGACUUAUCAGCUUAAACCACGUGGAUUUAAAUCUCUGGCUGCCACGGGAGAAGCAAAGAGGUGAGACUGUGGCUGCGCUCAGAAUCUGUGACCGUCACACUGCUCGAAAUCCCCCAUCCCUAGGAGCCCGAGGAAAGUCACUCUUAACUUUUAUUUCAGUUGAGGAAGGUGAAUAAUGAUACCUUCUUUACGGAUUAUGUUGUGGCCUGAUUAAAUAUUUCAAAAGUAUUUCUGUGAUCCCCAGAUAAAAGACACUGAGUAAAGCCUGAAC
Molecule: long non-coding RNA, 905 nt
Filed under: Capra hircus (goat)
Lineage: Eukaryota; Metazoa; Chordata; Mammalia; Artiodactyla; Bovidae
Description: lncRNA (ENSCHIG00000001367.1)
Source: RNAcentral